GACGAACGCUGGCGGCGUGCUUAACACAUGCAAGUCGAACGGAAAGGCCCUGCUUGCAGGGUAGGCGAGUGGCGAACGGGUGAGGAACACGUGGGAGAUGUGCACUGCACUUCCGGCUACUGCUUGGAAACUUGGACUAAUACCGGAUAGGAGCCAUUUUGGGUGUGUUGGUUGGUAGGUUUGUUCGGUGUAGGAUGAGCUCGGGGGCUAGCAGCUUGGUGGUUGGGUAAUGGCCUGCCAAGGCGGCGACGGGUAGCCGGCCUGAGAGGGUGGACGGCCACAUUGGGACUGCGUAACGGCCCAGACUCCUACGGGAGGCAGCAGUGGGGAAUAUUGCACAAUGGGCGCAAGCCUGAUGCAGCGACGCCGCGUGGGGGAUGAAGGCCUUCGGGUUGUAAACUCCUUUCGCUAGGGACGAAGCUUUUUGUGACGGUACCUAGAUAAGAAGCACCGGCUAACUACGUG
RNAcentral lists this ribosomal RNA (465 nucleotides) under uncultured bacterium. RNAcentral describes it as "partial 16S ribosomal RNA". It matches the Rfam family "Bacterial small subunit ribosomal RNA", at positions 28 to 507 of the family's 1533-position model. The record is from RNAcentral.